Non-coding RNA from Solanum lycopersicum (tomato), 2533 nucleotides. Lineage: Eukaryota; Viridiplantae; Streptophyta; Magnoliopsida; Solanales; Solanaceae. The record is from RefSeq and is a predicted model, not a curated record.
UUGUUUUUUCAACAAGUAUGUCUUGCCAAAUUAAUUGUUGCCAAGAUUUAUUUCCACAAAUCUCUCUCUUAAUUUUGAUUUUUCUUCUUUACUCCAAGGCAUGAUCUCAAUCUCCGAAAAUCUUCAAACUUGAGAGGCUUUAUAAAGAUAUUCGCAACUUGAUCAUGACAUUUCACAUACUUGAGCUCUACCUCUUUCUUGGCAAUGCAUUCUUGGAUAAAGUGAUACCUUGUGUCUAUGUGCUUGAUUCGAUCAUGAUACACCGGAUUCUUUGCUAGUGCUUGCGCAUAUUUGUUAUCAACACAAAUCAUUGUGGCUUUAAUUUGUGGCAGCGACAUCAUGUGAAUGGACUAGUGCUAGUUGAGGAUACUUGUCUUUGUUUCAACGCCCUUAAGGGUCUCCCAGGGCCUUACAUGCAUUCCACAGUUAGGUUUGUCUACCUCAGAUACCAUACCAGGAAGUACAACCUUUAUCAACAGACGUAAGUCGUCCUGUUUCAUUCUUCUGUAUGUUUGGUUGUAUAUAUAAUUUCUUUCACAUCAUUAUUUCCUAAAACCUCUUAACAGGAACAUGAAAAGGAAAAAAUGGAAUGUAAGAUUUCAUGAUUUUUACAAAUUUCAGUAGGAAAAAAUUGUACUGCAUUUUUUCCUACAUUUUACUCUGCCCCGUUACGUAAGAACUAUCAACCCUUCUGAAUAUUUUCCCGCCCAUUAAUACAUAGCACUUCCUUUGUUUCAAUUUGUUUGUCCUUUGUUGUUUGGCUGUUGCGAAAAGAGUGUCUUUUCCCUUUUUCCCAGUCAAGCAAAAUACUAGAUCCUUUUGAUAUUUGUUGUGUACUUCAAGCUCUCGACGAAUUAUCCAACAAUCCAGCCAAAUAUAGAUAAAGACAGAGAACUAGCCAUAAUAAUUUUAUUACUUUAAAAUACAAAUGAAUGUAUUCUACGAAGGAAAAUGUCAAAAAACAAAUGAAUCGACUGAUAGAAUUUUGCAAGUUAGGUGUGUAGUUCUUUUGUUGGAUUACCUCUUGGUAGAACGUAGUGGACUAGAAACCUUCGGCUUAACCAGAUUUGAACUUCUUCCGUUUUCAUUCGCAACAUUUCCUAUGCUUCAUAUGACAUCUUUUUGUUUAAUGUCAAAAACAACUGAAUAGAUUGAUACAAUUUUGUGAGCUAAGUGUCUACUUCUUCCGUUUUCUUUCGCAACAUAUCCUAUGUUUCCUAUGACUUUUUUUGUUUAACAAGCUUGCUGUUUCUCAACCUUCAUAAGGUAGACUUACCUUCUUCUGUUAGCAGGAAAACACUUUGCUAAUAAUAAAGCCAUUGUCAAGCUCAUUUGAAAUAUGUUUUUAUAUGUAGGAAUUGGAUCAACAUACAAUUAGCUUAACAUUUUGACUCCGCAAAAUUAAUGUGAUUAGUUAAACAAAUUGUGCUUGUUUGCCUUAUUUUCAUUCUAAUUUUUAUUUUCCUGAAUGCUACAUUAAUAUUUCUCAAAUGUAUGCCAUUUUUCCCCAAUGGCUGUAACACAUUUAUCUAUGUAUUUUUUCCAGAUUACAUUAAGUUAUAAAUUAGUUUAACAAAUCAUGAACUACUCGAACAGGAAUUGAAGAAAAUAUAGAUAAUGUGUCUACCUAAGAAAGAACUUUUGACAGAAAUUUUCGUCGUCGUACGAGAUAUGCACAAAUGUCACCGGAGAGAAAGCAAUUAAUUUUAUCCGAGCUAAGAGAAAAAAGGGCUUAGUCGAAAAAACAAAAACUCAUUUAUCAAUCAAAUACUACUGGAGCUCUUACAAUCAGCACUUCUUCGUUAUCUCCUCAGGAUGGUUAGCUGACCAUAUUGUUAUCUGCAUUCCAUUUAUAUAUUGUUGCUCGUAAUUUUUCUUUUGCCCGAUUUGUUUUUACCUUUAUUGUCUUUAUUAUGAAUUUUGUAGUUGCUGAGACUUGGGAUUCCCACAUUAAUAGAUACUGCUUUUGUGUUUUAUAUCCAAUUCAGUUAUAUAUUCUUGCUCAUGAAGGACAGCAUACACCGAGUGUAUAACAUUUUCAUAGAAAGAAAAUGAAUCUCAGUAAUCAUGGAAUUUCACACUAUAAAUGUUUGAUAAUAUGCCUAAGACAACUAAUAUUAGUUUUAUGAUACUUUUAGGUGAAUUUUCAGAAUAUUUUGAUAUAUUGUGCAAUCAUUUCAAAGGUACGUUAUCAUGAAUGGAAAUCUAUAAAGUUUCAUUCUUUAUCAAAUAUUAUGCAAUAGAACUUCUAUAUGUACGCUAACAAUUGUUCCAGAUUACUACAUGCAUUAUGUAUUUUUCAAGAAUUAGGGGUUUGUUAUCAACUAAUUUGAGGCAAAGACUAAACUCUCUUCUCUUUAGGUUCGUGUAGUUAUGGAACUUGCCUCCUAAAUUGCUUUCACUCAAUACGAAUUUGAAAAAUUCUCUUUCAUCUUGAUCGUGACGUCUCUAUCAGUGAGUAAAUAAUAAUACUAUGUUCCUGAAACUCUUCAAACGUUAUUAUUUUCUAAUAAAUAUUGUUCUUUUCUUUUUA